CGGCGCGCCUAACACAUGCAAGUCGAACGAGCGAGAGAGAGCUUGCUUUNUCAAGCGAGUGGCGAACGGGUGAGUAACGCGUGAGGAACCUGCCUCAAAGAGGGGGGACAACAGUUGGAAACGACUGCUAAUACCGCAUAAGCCCACGGCUCGGCAUCGAGCAGGAGGGAAAAAGGAGCAAUCCGCUUUGAGAUGGCCUCGCGUCCGAUUAGCUAGUUGGUGAGGUAAUGGCCCACCAAGGCGACGAUCGGUAGCCGGACUGAGAGGGUGAACGGCCACAUUGGGACUGAGACACGGCCCAAACUCCUACGGGAGGCAGCAGUGGGGAAUAUUGCACAAUGGGGGAAACCCUGAUGCAGCGACGCCGCGUGAGUGAUGAAGUAUUUCGGUAUGUAAAACUCUAUCAGCAGGGAAGAUAAUGACGGUACCUGACUAAGAAGCACCGGCUAAAUACGUG
This 457-nucleotide ribosomal RNA is filed under the name uncultured bacterium. RNAcentral's name for it is "bacterial SSU rRNA". It matches the Rfam family "Bacterial small subunit ribosomal RNA", at positions 40 to 507 of the family's 1533-position model. The record is from RNAcentral.